GAAUUCACUAGUGAUUCAGGCCUAUCGCAUGCAAAAAAAACGAACCCUUCGGGGUGAGCGGCGGACGGGUGAGUAACGCGUGGGUAACCUGCCCUAUACACACGGAUAACGUACCGAAAGGUACGCUAAUACGAGAUAACAUAUUUUUAUCGCAUGGUAGAAAUAUCAAAGCUCCGGCGGUAUAGGAUGGACCCGCGUCUGAUUAGCUAGUUGGUAAGGUAAUGGCU
This 227-nucleotide ribosomal RNA is filed under the name uncultured bacterium. Its description in RNAcentral is "partial 16S ribosomal RNA". It matches the Rfam family "Bacterial small subunit ribosomal RNA", at positions 43 to 265 of the family's 1533-position model. The record is from RNAcentral.